This is a small nucleolar RNA of Ictalurus punctatus (channel catfish), 80 nucleotides long. Ensembl annotates it as Small nucleolar RNA SNORD53/SNORD92. NCBI's taxonomy places the organism in Eukaryota, Metazoa, Chordata, Actinopteri, Siluriformes, Ictaluridae. The record is from Ensembl.
ACAUGAUGAUACAAGAGAAUGGUUUCGCUUUCAUGAGCUGAUGUCAUGUGAUGUCACAUUUCUCUUGGCUGUCUGAAUUU